Molecule: long non-coding RNA, 2152 nt
Organism: Trifolium pratense (red clover)
Lineage: Eukaryota; Viridiplantae; Streptophyta; Magnoliopsida; Fabales; Fabaceae
Exons: 7
Source: RefSeq, a predicted model, not a curated record
GAAUCAAAAACAAAAAAGAAAGAAAUUAACGAUAUGUAGAAAGUUUCUAGAAACAAACUGAACCCUUCUUCUUCGUGGAAGUUCAAUACACAACAAUCUUCUUCUUCUUCUUUCUUCUUCACUGCAAUUCAUCACCUUUUUCACUGCACCAUCAUCACAUUUGAACGCUUCAUCACCUUCGAAAUUGGUAAAGCUUGAAACCCUAACUUUCAUAGAAAUUCAACUGCUUCACUCAAACUUGAAAGAAUGAACCGUUCCCUUCGCUGCAAACCUGGGGGUCCUGCUCCUCUAAGCGGGGACAAUUCAAGAAGAAUUAAGAGACGAACCGUUCCCUUCACUCAUUCAUAUGCAUAUUAGGUGUUUGAUAAUUUCCUAAGUGGUGUUAUGUGAAUCUUUGCCUGAGAGCAUCCGUCGCAACGAUUUCUUCACCGCAAACGAUUGACUUCUUCACUGCACUGCACCUUCGUCAAAAUUGAACCCUUCGUCAUCUCCGAACCAUUCGUAAAACUUGAACCCACCUUAACCGCUCAAAAUUGAACCCUUCACUACAAUCUCAGAACAUCGAACACCUCACUGCCCAGAAAUUGAACUCCUUCACCGAAAAUUCAAACCCUUCAGUACAAAUUUAAAACCCUAACUUUCAUAGAAAUUGAACUCCUUCAGUAAAACUAGAAAAUUUGAACUGUUCCCUUCGCUGCAAACUUCGAAGGAAUUGAUUGCAAACUUGGAGGCUACUCAUUCAUAUGAUUGCUACCUUGUGUACAUUCUCACUGAAAUGGCUGGAACUGGAAGUACAUCAAAUGACUGAAAUAGUGUUCACUCGGACAUGUGAUGCAACUCAUCUUCUUGCUUAGAUUCUUAGGAAUCUCGAUUUGAAAGCCAUCCCCAUUAAUGGUCAUGUGAGUCAGGUAUUUCCUGUUGCUCAAAAGGGAUUUGUGGAUUCAAUCCUUUUACAACGUUUGUGUGCUAUAGAAUUAUUUUAUAAUCUGAGGUUCUACACAAACUUAUAAGCUAUGAGGUUUGGCACAUCUCUCACUCUUCAUUCUCAAACAUAGGAAAUCCACACAAAGGUUCAAGUUAUUGACAUCUAUCUAGCUAGUCUCUUUUUAAUCCACACAAAGGUAAGCUCAAAUAUGCCUAUUUUGUCAAAUAACUUAAAAAAAAAAUAGUUUUGAUAAUAAUGUCUUUCUUGUGUUUGAUAACAUACCUUAAUUAAGAUAGUAAUGUGUUUGCAAAUUAGUCUCAUCUGAUAUUUAGAUUUUGUUGGGUUGUUUAGUGUCAUGUUAUUUUGCAUUUGAAUUAUAUAUCUCAAUGCUACAUACAUAUAUAGACCCUUAGUAAGUUGAUUAAUAUGUUUGAUUUGUCUAACUCGUUCUCUUUUGAUGUUGUUGUGUGACCGAACAGAGCUGCAUUCGUUGAGGUUGUUGUCAAUGUUGCACUUUUGCUACAUGAAGGUGUGAAGGUCUGUGCUCAAAUCAGUUCGGUUUUGCAAGAGGUCAAGGCUGUACAAAAUGCUGCUUAUAAAGCUGAUUGGUAUGUUGUCUAUAUAGUAUGCAAUAUGUCACAAUCUACGGAAGUUGUUCAUGAGUGUUGGAAGAGUGAAUUUCACAUGUCUAUAUAACUGGUUAUAUAGAAUUGGAAGAGUCUGCAACUCUGCAUCAAUAUACUUUGUUGGAACUGAAUUUUACAUUGACAAAAGUAUUUACUGACUAGACGUUCACAUUUGAUCAUAUUCAAUUUUAGAGCCAAAAGCAACAAAUAGUUAUGAGUGCGACUAUUAUGUCAUGAUACACAUGUUGAACAUUGUAUCUGCUGGUGUUGUUGGUUCAUGGACCCAAGUAAGUAAUAUAAUUUCUGUAUCAAGCUGUAUCAAUUUAUUUAAUUGGUGCAAGAGAAAACAAGCUAUAGUACAUGACGAAAUUUGGAGACAGAUCUAAGUUUAAGUUUUUUAUUCUUUUUGUCGAGGUACCGUUACAAUUUUAAUGAUAUGCAGUUGCCCCAACACAUCAAGAUAUAGUAAUUGUAAUUGUUUUUCAAGACUUAGAAUAAUUCAUUAUUGUGUUGGUUCUCUGUGUGUUUAGAAUUGUAAUUAGUUUGUAGUUAGUUACUUAUUUCUUCAUGAGUGAUAUUACCCCUUAAAUUAGAUUUUAAA